CCUACGGGGGGCAGCAGUGGGGAAUAUUGGGCAAUGGGCGCAAGCCUGACCCAGCAACGCAGCGUGAAGGAAGAAGGCUUUAGGGUUGUAAAAUUCUUUUAUCAGGGACGAAGCAAGUGACGGUACCUGAUGAAUAAGCCACGGCUAACUACGUGCCAGCAGCCGCGGUAAUACGUAGGUUGCGAGCGUUAUCCGGAUUUACUGGGUGUCAAGGGCGUGUAGGCGGGAGUGCAAGUCAGAUGUGAAAACUAUGGUCUCAACCCAUAGCCUGCAUUUGAAAAUGUACUUCGUGAGUGCUGGGGAGGCAAUCGGAAUGCCGGGUGUAGCGGUGAAAUGCGUAGAUAUA
This 346-nucleotide ribosomal RNA is filed under the name uncultured bacterium. RNAcentral's name for it is "partial 16S ribosomal RNA". It matches the Rfam family "Bacterial small subunit ribosomal RNA", at positions 338 to 698 of the family's 1533-position model. The record is from RNAcentral.